Molecule: ribosomal RNA, 253 nt
Filed under: uncultured bacterium
Lineage: Bacteria
Description: partial 16S ribosomal RNA
Rfam family: Bacterial small subunit ribosomal RNA
Source: RNAcentral
UACGGGGGGAGCAAGCGUUGUUCGGAUUUACUGGGCGUAAAGGGCGCGUAGGCGGUAGCACAAGUCAGUUGUGAAAUCUCCGGGCUUAACUCGGAAAGGUCAACUGAUACUGUGCGACUAGAGUGCAGAAGGGGCAACUGGAAUUCUCGGUGUAGCGGGGAAAUGCGUAGAUAUCGAGAGGAACACCUGCGGCGAAGGCGGGUUGCUGGGCUGACACUGACGCUGAUGCGCGAAAGCCAGGGGAGCGAACGGG